CCAGAGGUGGGCGUAGCCAAGGCGGCUCAGGCGACCAGGACAUAUUCUGAAGGAAUGAUAGUAGAAACAUCAAAAAGAUACCCAGUUUCGUUGUGUUUGUGUAUUUCUGCAUUUUCACUUUGCAGCACCCGGAGACACUACAACAAUGUCCAGCAACCUUCAGCCAACCUGCUGCAAAGACCAAGGACAACGGAGCACAGGGCCCAGUGGCUUGGAGAGUCUCACAUGCUGCUGAGUGAGUGACCAGGACAAACUCCCUGUGGAAGGUCCCACAGAGCCAGGGCUGGCUGGAGACUUCCCACGUCUCAUCUCCCCAUCAGCAAGGGGCACUACAACCUCCCUGUGUCCAUGCUUUGUGUCCUGCAGACAAAGUCUUUGGGCCUGUCCUUGACCAGAUUCCUGAGGUUGGGUAAUCGCAAAGCACAGGAAUGGAUUUCGCACAGUCCGAGAAGCCAGAAGUCCAAGAUCAAGGCAGAGGAUACCAUUUGGUGAGAGAGUGAACACUGUCACUGAAGACAAGCCGGGCCAGGGUGUUGUUGUCACCAUUUCU
Long non-coding RNA from Tupaia belangeri chinensis (Chinese tree shrew), 550 nucleotides. RefSeq lists it as uncharacterized. Lineage: Eukaryota; Metazoa; Chordata; Mammalia; Scandentia; Tupaiidae. The transcript is spliced from 5 exons. The record is from RefSeq and is a predicted model, not a curated record.